GUGCUCACAUCGCAGCACAUAUACUAAAAUUGGAACUAUACAGAGAAGAUUGGCAUUGCCCCUCCGCAAGGAGGACGUGCAAAUUCAUGAAGCCUUCCAUAUUUUU
This is a small nuclear RNA of Pseudophryne corroboree (corroboree frog), 106 nucleotides long. NCBI's taxonomy places the organism in Eukaryota, Metazoa, Chordata, Amphibia, Anura, Myobatrachidae. The record is from RefSeq and is a predicted model, not a curated record.